GAAAUGCUUCCUCUAGACUCAGGAAGUGUUUGCUGUUUGGAAGGAGAGGAGAAAGAUGUUGCACUUGGCUGCCCUUUUGGACCUUCUUCCACUCUUCCCUGUGUGCCACCGCUGCUGGGAUAUAAGCACUCAUUACCCUGGGGUCUUCAGCUUGCUUCGAUACUGCAGGUUUUCCGAAGAGGACGUACCAACUUUCAUCUGACAACAAGGAUUAAAAUGGAUUCUCAACUCUGCAGAGGGAUUCCGUUAGCCUGUCUGCAGGGGGGCAGCACAAGCCUCCAGGAGUCUAUGGAGCCCCUGGGGCAGGAAAGCCAGCCGGGAAGGCAGAGGGAACCUAGCAAGGCUGAGCUGACAAAUGCCCUUUCUGCAGGAAGUUUCCCGGUGAUUGGUUCCUUCCUGUCCCACACUGAGCCCGAAAUCUGGAAAAUA
Molecule: long non-coding RNA, 429 nt
Organism: Ailuropoda melanoleuca (giant panda)
Lineage: Eukaryota; Metazoa; Chordata; Mammalia; Carnivora; Ursidae
Exons: 3
Source: RefSeq, a predicted model, not a curated record